Molecule: ribosomal RNA, 408 nt
Filed under: Acanthamoeba genotype T3
Lineage: Eukaryota; Discosea; Longamoebia; Acanthamoebidae
Description: SSU rRNA
Rfam family: Eukaryotic small subunit ribosomal RNA (bases 1-336)
Source: RNAcentral
CCAUUUUCUGCCACCGAAUACAUUAGCAUGGGAUAAUGGAAUAGGACCCUGUCCUCACAUUUUCAGUUGGUUUGCCGCGAGGACCAGGGUAAUGAUUAAUAGGGAUAGUUGGGGGCAUUAAUAUUUAAUUGUCAGAGGUGAAAUUCUUGGAUUUAUGAAAGAUUAACUUCUGCGAAAGCAUCUGCCAAGGAUGUUUUCAUUAAUCAAGAACGAAAGUUAGGGGAUCGAAGACGAUCAGAUACCGUCGUAGUCUUAACCAUAAACGAUGCCGACCAGCGAUUAGGAGACGUUGAAUACAAAACACCACCAUGCGCAUUGCGGUCGUCUUUGGUGUCGCUCACAAGGCGGCACCGGGGCGGCUUAGCUCGCAUGGCACCGGUGAAUGACUCCCUAGCAGCCUUGUGAGAA